UGGCGGACGGGUGAGUAACGCGUGGGUAACCUGCCCUGUACAGGGGGAUAACAGUUGGAAACGGCUGCUAAUACCGCAUAAGCGCACGAGAGGACAUCCUCUUGUGUGAAAAACUCCGGUGGUACAGGAUGGGCCCGCGUCUGAUUAGCUGGUUGGCAGGGUAACGGCCUACCAAGGCGACGAUCAGUAGCCGGUCUGAGAGGAUGAACGGCCACAUUGGAACUGAGACACGGUCCAA
This 238-nucleotide ribosomal RNA is filed under the name uncultured bacterium. RNAcentral describes it as "partial 16S ribosomal RNA". It matches the Rfam family "Bacterial small subunit ribosomal RNA", at positions 96 to 334 of the family's 1533-position model. The record is from RNAcentral.